AAUAGAUCCACCAAGGGAAGGACGAGAGCCUUCGACCAAGGUUCGAAUUGAGCGUAGCGAAAUAACAGUGCGCGUAGCGCAUUGGCCCGCAGGGUGAGGAACGAAGUGACGAAUCAUCCUUCCCCCACCACCA
Molecule: regulatory RNA element, 133 nt
Organism: Xenorhabdus innexi
Lineage: Bacteria; Pseudomonadati; Pseudomonadota; Gammaproteobacteria; Enterobacterales; Morganellaceae
Rfam family: RtT RNA
About the family: This family represents a bacterial cis-regulatory element known as RtT RNA.
Source: Rfam